GGUGGUUUGGAUGAGUGGCUUAGUCACCGGUCUGCAAAACCGUUUACGGCGGUUCGAAUCCGCCAACCACCU
This 72-nucleotide transfer RNA is filed under the name Prevotellamassilia sp. RNAcentral describes it as "tRNA-Cys". It matches the Rfam family "tRNA". Rfam says of the family: Transfer RNA (tRNA) molecules are approximately 80 nucleotides in length. Lineage: Bacteria; Pseudomonadati; Bacteroidota; Bacteroidia; Bacteroidales; Prevotellaceae. RNAcentral also lists the same sequence under 1 other name. The record is from RNAcentral.